RNAcentral lists this ribosomal RNA (487 nucleotides) under uncultured bacterium. RNAcentral's name for it is "bacterial SSU rRNA". It matches the Rfam family "Bacterial small subunit ribosomal RNA", at positions 33 to 518 of the family's 1533-position model. The record is from RNAcentral.
GACGCUGGCGGCGUGCUUAAUACAUGCAAGUCGAGCGAGCUACUUCGGUAGCGAGCGGCGCACGGGUGAGUAACGCGUAGAUGAUCUACCCUCGAGACUGAGAUACCUCCGGGAAACUGGAGUUAAUACCAGAUAACGCACAUUGGUUUGGUUUCUGAUGUGUUAAAGCGGUGCAAGUCGCACUUGAGGAUGAGUCUGCGGCCUAUCAGCUAGUUGGUGGGGUAACGGCCUACCAAGGCGAAGACGGGUAGCUGAUCUGAGAGGAUGAUCAGCCACAUUGGGACUGAGACACGGCCCAAACUCCUACGGGAGGCAGCAGUAGGGAAUAUUGCGCAAUGGGGGGAACCCUGACGCAGCGACGCCGCGUGAGUGAAUGACGGCCUUUUUGGUUGUAAAGCUCUGUAAAGAGGGAAAAAUGUUGUAGUGAAGAGCUGCAAUUGAUGGUACCUCUAAAGUAAGGACCGGCUAAAUACGUGCCAGCAGCUGC